AACGGCGUUGAGUUCGUUAGAUCAACUCCAACGCCUAUAUAUUUAGAGAGAUAAAAAAUAAUAUGGUAAUAGUACUUAGUAUAUAUCCAUAUUUCCAUGGCAUGACAGCUUCUGUAUUCAGAUUAAGCAGAAAAGAAGUACUCCUACUAUGAAGACGGCUCUUUUGCUUGCUCCUCCUCCUCCUACUUUUUCGUUUUCAACCUAACCCUGGUAGUAAUUGUAGUUGUACAAAAGAAAAAAGUGAAUUAAUUAACAGCUUUCUUACAGUCAAUUCAAUCCCUAGAUCUCUAGGGUUCGAUAAUCGGUGACCUUUUUUAGAUGGAGCCGCGUGUCGGAAAUAAGUAUCGCCUUGGUCGGAAAAUUGGCAGCGGAUCGUUCGGCGAGAUCUAUCUAGGGACUAAUAUACAGACCAAUGAAGAAGUUGCAAUUAAGCUUGAAAAUGUGAAGACAAAGCAUCCUCAGUUACUUUAUGAGUCAAAGUUGUACAGAAUUCUGCAGGGAGGAACUGGAAUUCCAAAUGUGAGAUGGUUUGGAGUUGAGGGUGACUACAAUGUUCUCGUCAUGGAUUUGCUUGGCCCAAGCCUUGAGGACUUAUUCAAUUUUUGCAGUCGGAAACUUUCUCUAAAGACUGUCCUUAUGCUGGCAGACCAAAUGAUCAAUCGUGUUGAAUUUGUUCAUUCAAAGUCAUUUUUACACCGAGAUAUCAAGCCAGACAAUUUUCUUAUGGGCUUAGGACGCCGUGCUAACCAGGUUUACGUCAUAGAUUUUGGUCUGGCUAAGAAAUAUAGAGACACUUCAACCCACCAGCACAUACCGUACAGAGAGAACAAGAAUUUGACCGGAACUGCUAGGUACGCUAGCAUGAAUACUCACCUUGGAAUUGAACAAAGCAGGAGGGAUGAUUUGGAAUCUCUUGGAUAUGUUCUUAUGUAUUUCCUCAGAGGAAGUCUUCCAUGGCAGGGACUGAAAGCAGGUACCAAGAAACAGAAGUACGAGAAAAUCAGUGAAAGAAAGGUUUCUACAUCAUUGAGUGGUUAUGUGCUAUUCUUUCAGGCCUUAUGCAGGGGUUACCCAACUGAGUUUGCUUCCUAUUUCCAUUAUUGUCGGUCACUUCGUUUUGAGGAUAAACCUGAUUAUGCUUAUCUGAAGCGAAUAUUCCGUGAUCUUUUCAUUCGUGAAGGCUUCCAGUUCGAUUAUGUUUUUGAUUGGACAAUUUUUAAAAUAUCAACAGUCUCAGAUUGCUGCACCACCUUCUCGGGCAGUUGGUCCUAGUGCGGGAACAAGCUCAGGAAUGCCACCUGCUAUACCCAACAUUGAAAGGCAACAAGGUGAAGAAGAUGGAAGACAAGCUGGAUUUUCUUCAGCAGAUCCUUCACGACGAAGAAGUUCUGGUCCACUCUUAAAUGUCGGGAGUUUAUCUAAGCAGAAGAGCCCAAUUGCAAAUGAUUCAACAAGCAAAGAAGUCGGGUUAUCAAGCUCUGCCUAUUUGGGAAGAUCAAGUGGAUCAUUGAGAAGAGGUGCUAUAGCCGGUAGCCGUGAAACAUUCACUGCAGGAAAUGAUUCUGAUCCUACUCGAUCUCGUACACCUGAGGCUAGUCCAGGGACGGCACAGAAAAUCUCUAGCGGACAAAGGACCUUGCCCCUUGGUGGAUCCUCAGACCCCAGGCACACUUCAUCUGGCAAAAACAAUUCUGGUGUAAAAAACUUUGAGUCCACUCUCAAGGGCAUUGAGAGCCUGCGCUUUGAUGAUUAAUAGAUGGUUCAUUGCUGGAUGCUUCAGUUUUUACAUUUUGUACAUCGUCAACAUCAUCCACUGGACAUCCCAUUAAAUUCAUUAAAGCUCUUGGAGUUGCAUUUCUGGGAAGUUGUGAUAUGGAGAGUAAAUAGGCUCGGUAUGGAUGCUCCCAAAGACCUUAGCGAUAAAGAGGACCAGAUUGUGCAACAAAAUUCAGACAGGUGAAGCUCUGCCCACUUGCGUGGAUAUACUAUUGGAUCUCAACCACUGCUCUUUUUUCUUUUUUCCUGAGUGCUGAGAGUUACUGGUUUAAAUCAUCAGGGAACUGUAAAUUUGCAACUUAAUUGUGUCUGCCGGACCUGCUCUUAUUUUUGUUCGUUUCACAGUUCCUGGUCAUGCAUAAACCAGUGCACAUUUAUGUAAUGUUUCCCUAUUUUUGUAAUGGCUUGUUGACUGAA
Non-coding RNA from Coffea arabica (coffee), 2193 nucleotides. Lineage: Eukaryota; Viridiplantae; Streptophyta; Magnoliopsida; Gentianales; Rubiaceae. The record is from RefSeq and is a predicted model, not a curated record.